AACGAACGCUGGCGGCAUGCCUAACACAUGCCAGUCGAACGAGACCUUCGGGUCUUGUGGCGCACGGGUGCGUAACGCGUGGGAACCUGCCCUUAGGUUCGGAAUAACUCCCCGAAAGGGGUGCUAAUACCGGAUAAUGUCUUCGGACCAAAGAUUUAUCGCCUUUGGAUGGGCCCGCGUUGGAUUAGCUAGUUGGUAGGGUAAAAGCCUACCAAGGCGACGAUCCAUAGCUGGUCUGUGAGGAUGAUCAGCCACACUGGGACUGAGACACGGCCCAGACUCCUACGGGAGGGAGCAGUGGGGAAUAUUGGACAAGGGGCGAAAGCCUGAUCCAGCAAUGCCGGGUGAGUGAUGAAGGCCUUAGGGUUGUAAAGCUCUUUUACCCGGGAUGAUAAUGACAGUACCGGGAGAAUAAGCGCCGGCUAACUCCGUG
This 433-nucleotide ribosomal RNA is filed under the name uncultured bacterium. Its description in RNAcentral is "partial 16S ribosomal RNA". It matches the Rfam family "Bacterial small subunit ribosomal RNA", at positions 29 to 507 of the family's 1533-position model. The record is from RNAcentral.